Oncorhynchus tshawytscha (Chinook salmon) is the source of this 1768-nucleotide long non-coding RNA. The record is from Ensembl. NCBI's taxonomy places the organism in Eukaryota, Metazoa, Chordata, Actinopteri, Salmoniformes, Salmonidae.
CUCGGGAUCCCUGCCUUAUCCCUGUGUGUGGGAGAAAUUGGUUAUAAAUAUGGAGCUCCCUCGAUCAAUAAGGAACACAGUCAAAACUGCCAGUCAGACAAAUAGACACACAACUCACACAUAACAUAAUGGCGACACAGGUAGACUCACAGGUAAACUUACAGAUGGAAAAACAGAGAGAUAGACCGAUGGAAGCCCUUGUGUUCAUUCCAGGGCCCCCCUCACCUACAGCCAUCCGCCCCUGGUCCAGGUGUGUAGCAGUGAUGGGGCUCGUGAUCAUGGUUCUAUUCGUGGGGUUAUCGUGUUUCUGCAUUGGGUUCUACAUCCAGAGAGUCACACAGGGAACUGGACAAUCACAUUGCACAGAGAAAUUCAAGCAGAACUUCAAACUUCAAGAGGGCAGAAAGUCAGAAGAAAAACCAGACGAAGUACAGUACGACAUCUUCACCGCACCGAAGGACGCCAUCUAUUUUAUCCAUGGCCAGGUGAACAGAGCAGACGGCAAGGGGAAAGUCUACCUGUUUUGGAAACACAUUAGCAGGCAUAAUUUCAACACCAUCAACGGAACCUGCCCUGAGGUCACCUUCGCUACUGAGGUCAAGUUAAUCAAAGGUGAUCAAGUCUACCUCGUCUUCAACGAGGGCAAACCCAACCUGAAAAGGAGCACUUUCACAGUCUACGAGCUUGUCGAGCAGUGACCAGACUGAAAAGCGUACAGUCUAGAAGUGUUAAGCCACACUGUAAGAUAGCAUUAAAGAUUUCAUUCCACAAGUUAUCUGUAGUGCUCAAUGAAUGACAUUCCAUGAGAGCAACACCUGUGAACAAAUGUUUAACUCCUUUAUACUGCGGCUGUAUAGACUAGAACAGUACAGUACAGUUUACAUCUGGAUGAAAGUUAUGACCCUUGUUAUAACACAUAAGCUGGGUCAGGUGGUUAGUGUGCUGUCUAUACCAGUGUUUCCCAACUCCAGUCCUCGAGUACCCCCAACAGCACACAUUUUGUUGUAGCCCCGGACAAGCACCACGGAUUCAACUUGUCAACUUAUCAAGCCCUCAAUGAGUUGAAUCAGGUGAGUUUGUCCAGGGCAACAACAAUAAUAUGUACUGUUGUGGGUUCUCCAGAAGUUGGGAAACACUGGUAUAGACAGCACACUAAUCACCUGACACAGCUUAUGUGUUAUAACAAGGGUCAUAACCUUUAUGUUCAGGGUCCAGUCCACAUAUUCCCUCUGUGUUGUAACAUUCCCUCAGCCUAAGAGACAUGUACUAAGUGAGGGGGUCAUUUUGGAGCUGGGCUGGAGGACGAACCAAAGCCGUUAUGGUGGCUGAUUCUUUAAGGUUAAAUAAGGAAACUGAAACCCAAUGUCUACGUCCAAUAUAAACAGUGAAACUCAGUAGAGUGAGAUCCAGUCCUCAAAAGUUUGUUCAAAUUGUAACGUUAGUAAAGUAUGCUGGUACAUUACAUGCAUAGUUUUUCAUUUUUCUGUCAAUAGAUGUAGCAUCUCCUGUUUGUGGACAGGUAGGUAUAGAGGCAACUGAUUGUUUUCUAUAAUAUUUAGUUUGUAAGAUGCAUUGAUCAACCAUAAAGUUACAAAGAUAUUGAAUGCAAUAAAGAGAUGGUAGAAAAGGAUUGUAUGUCAAUAUUUUGUGUAUAAGAUGAUCAUUUUAACCCAGUGCUUUUCCUGUCAUAGGGAAUGUUCCGAAUAUUUCCAAUGCUCUUAAGAUCAAAUGUAAUCAAAUUGAAUGUAAUAAAAUAUUUUGUGAAUAA